Triticum urartu is the source of this 406-nucleotide non-coding RNA. NCBI's taxonomy places the organism in Eukaryota, Viridiplantae, Streptophyta, Magnoliopsida, Poales, Poaceae. The record is from RefSeq and is a predicted model, not a curated record.
CGCCGAGGCUGCUGGUGGGUGCUUCUUCAGGGGCAAAGAAGAAAUCUUCAAGAAGAAGGUGCCCGAAGCUGAUGCCGCGGCAAGUGACUGAUGUUUACAUGUUGGGUCACGAUGAAAAUCAUUUGUUGUUGCGGAAAGUUAUAGGAGCAACAUUCCUGAUGGCGAUGGGUACGUGAUGAAGUUCAUAAACGUAUGAUAAGAACUGAGAACUCAGAGAACUUCAAGGACAAGAUCAACGAGGUGACCGGUGUUAUGGCGGCUGUGUAUGGUGGUGACCCCAGCCGCAGGACUCCCCAGGCCAUCUGCAUCUGCCCUACCAGGGAGAUUGCACAGCAGGUGUUGAUGCAGGCAGAUAUGUUCCUGACCAAGCUGACCAGCAUGUGCAAGAGGAGCACAGAGAAGGGCU